This 899-nucleotide long non-coding RNA is filed under the name Homo sapiens (human). RNAcentral's name for it is "long non-coding RNA NONHSAT163680.1". The record is from RNAcentral. Lineage: Eukaryota; Metazoa; Chordata; Mammalia; Primates; Hominidae.
GACCGGGACCGGUAGGGGUGCUGUUGCCAUCAUGGCUGACCCCGACCCCCGGUACCCUCGCUCCUCGAUCGAGGACGACUUCAACUAUGGCAGCAGCGUGGCCUCCGCCACCGUGCACAUCCGAAUGGAAAAUAGUAAUGUAAUUUUUUUUCUCUUUUAGCCUUUCUGAGAAAAGUCUACAGCAUUCUUUCUCUGCAGGUUCUCUUAACUACAGUGACUUCAACAGUUUUUUUAUACUUUGAGUCUGUACGGACAUUUGUACAUGAGAGUCCUGCCUUAAUUUUGCUGUUUGCCCUCGGAUCUCUGGGUUUGAUUUUUGCGUUGAUUUUAAACAGACAUAAGUAUCCCCUUAACCUGUACCUACUUUUUGGAUUUACGCUGUUGGAAGCUCUGACUGUGGCAGUUGUUGUUACUUUCUAUGAUGUAUAUAUUAUUCUGCAAGCUUUCAUACUGACUACUACAGUAUUUUUUGGUUUGACUGUGUAUACUCUACAAUCUAAGAAGGAUUUCAGCAAAUUUGGAGCAGGGCUGUUUGCUCUUUUGUGGAUAUUGUGCCUGUCAGGAUUCUUGAAGUUUUUUUUUUAUAGUGAGAUAAUGGAGUUGGUCUUAGCCGCUGCAGGAGCCCUUCUUUUCUGUGGAUUCAUCAUCUAUGACACACACUCACUGAUGCAUAAACUGUCACCUGAAGAGUACGUAUUAGCUGCCAUCAGCCUCUACUUGGAUAUCAUCAAUCUAUUCCUGCACCUGUUACGGUUUCUGGAAGCAGUUAAUAAAAAGUAAUUAAAAGUAUCUCAGCUCAACUGAAGAACAACAAAAAAAAUUUAAUGAGAAAAAAGGAUUAAAGUAAUUGGAAGCAGUAUAUAGAAACUGUUUCAUUAAGUAAUAAAGUUUGAAACAAU